RNAcentral lists this long non-coding RNA (223 nucleotides) under Hordeum vulgare. Its description in RNAcentral is "long non-coding RNA (HVUL_LNC008569)". Lineage: Eukaryota; Viridiplantae; Streptophyta; Magnoliopsida; Poales; Poaceae. The record is from RNAcentral.
GAAGGUGGCCGGAGCGUGGUGGUGAUGAGGCGGUUUUGAGAUGGUGUUUUAUACGCCCGUGCGGGGCGGGGUGGCGGGGAGGUGUGAGUGGGAAGGAGGAGGUUGAUUAGUUCGGACGCGGGAAAGGAUCCGACGGCUGGGAGGGAGGCGAUCGGCGGUUGCUUGUGGUUGUGGAGAUGGUUUGCUUUGUGGCCAAGGCGUUGUCGCGGCGAGGCCGACGUGC